This 205-nucleotide long non-coding RNA is filed under the name Lathyrus oleraceus (garden pea). RNAcentral describes it as "Pisum sativum (pea) long non-coding RNA (PSAT_LNC036863)". The record is from RNAcentral. Lineage: Eukaryota; Viridiplantae; Streptophyta; Magnoliopsida; Fabales; Fabaceae.
AGAAACAUCCGCUUCUACCGAAAGAAAAGAGAAAAAAAAUGAAAAAAAAAGCACUUGCCUUAGAAAUAUACUCAUGCAUUAAAAUGAAGUUGAGUGGAAAGAGAGUCAAGAUUUGACGACACCCCAAAAAUAAAAUUAUUGCACAAAGAAAAACAAAAACAUGAAUGCCGAGUUGUAAAACCUUUUGUAAUCCAUUUUGUUGUCU